RNAcentral lists this ribosomal RNA (590 nucleotides) under uncultured organism. RNAcentral's name for it is "bacterial SSU rRNA". It matches the Rfam family "Bacterial small subunit ribosomal RNA", at positions 61 to 622 of the family's 1533-position model. The record is from RNAcentral.
GUCGAACGAGAAAGCCGANGCUUGCUUUUGGCGAGUAGAGUGGCGCACGGGUGAGUAACGCGUGGGUAAUCUGCCUUCGAACCGGGGAUAACACUUCGAAAGGGGUGCUAAUACCGGAUGACAUCCAGGUGUCUUCGGGCGUCUGGAUCAAAGAUGGCCUCUCCAUGGAAGCUGUUGUUCGAAGAUGAGCCCGCGUCCCAUUAGCUUGUUGGUGGGGUAAAGGCCCACCAAGGCGACGAUGGGUAGCUGGUCUGAGAGGAUGAUCAGCCACACUGGCACUGACACACGGGCCAGACUCCUACGGGAGGCAGCAGUGAGGAAUUUUGCGCAAUGGGGGUAACCCUGACGCAGCAACGCCGCGUGAGUGAAGAAGGCCUUCGGGUCGUAAAGCUCUGUCGAGUGGGAAGAACCCGCAUCAGGUGACAAGGCUGAUGCGCUGACGGUACCACUGGAGGAAGCACCGGCUAACUCCGUGCCAGCAGCCGCGGUAAUACGGAGGGUGCAAGCGUUAUUCGGAAUUACUGGGCGUAAAGGGCGCGCAGGCGGCCUGGUAAGUCAGUAGUGAAAGCCCGGGGCUCAACCCCGGAAGU